This 446-nucleotide ribosomal RNA is filed under the name uncultured bacterium. RNAcentral describes it as "partial 16S ribosomal RNA". It matches the Rfam family "Bacterial small subunit ribosomal RNA", at positions 29 to 506 of the family's 1533-position model. The record is from RNAcentral.
AACGAACGCUGGCGGCAUGCCUAACACAUGCAAGUCGAACGAUGCCUUCGGGCAUAGUGGCGCACGGGUGCGUAACGCGUGGGAAUCUGCCCUUGGCUUCGGAAUAACAGUUAGAAAUGACUGCUAAUACCGGAUGAUGUCCCCCUGAGAGAUCUUGGGGACCAAAGAUUUAUCGGCCAGGGAUGAGCCCGCGUAGGAUUAGGUAGUUGGUGGGGUAAAGGCCUACCAAGCCGACGAUCCUUAGCUGGUCUGAGAGGAUGAUCAGCCACACUGGGACUGAGACACGGCCCAGACUCCUACGGGAGGCAGCAGUGGGGAAUUUUGGAAAAGGGGGGGAACCCUGAUCCAGCAAUGCCGCGUGAGUGAUGAAGGCCUUAGGGUUGUAAAGCUUUUUUACCAGGGAUGAUAAUGACAGUCCCUGGAGAAUAAGCUCCGGCUAACUCCGU